CAGUCGCCGCGGUAAUACGAAGGUCCCGAGCGUUGUUCGGAAUCACUGGGCGUAAAGGGAGCGUAGGCGGCGUGGUAAGUCAGAUGUGAAAUCCCGGGGCUCAACCCCGGAACUGCAUCCGAUACUGCCAUGCUAGAGGAUUGGAGAGGUAGCUGGAAUUCUUGGUGUAGCAGUGAAAUGCGUGGAGAUCAAGAGGAACACUCGUGGCGAAAGCGAGCUACUGGACAAUAACUGACGCUGAGGCUCGAAGGCCAGGGUAGCGAAAGGGAUUAGAUACCCCAGUAGUCCCUGUCUCUUAUAC
This 301-nucleotide ribosomal RNA is filed under the name uncultured bacterium. Its description in RNAcentral is "partial 16S ribosomal RNA". It matches the Rfam family "Bacterial small subunit ribosomal RNA", at positions 509 to 807 of the family's 1533-position model. The record is from RNAcentral.